Passer domesticus (house sparrow) is the source of this 350-nucleotide long non-coding RNA. RefSeq lists it as uncharacterized. The record is from RefSeq and is a predicted model, not a curated record. The transcript has 3 exons. NCBI's taxonomy places the organism in Eukaryota, Metazoa, Chordata, Aves, Passeriformes, Passeridae.
UUUCUUAUCUUUGCAAUUGUAUUGCAGUUCUACAGACUCUGUUAUCUUAUAACUGCUUUAUAGAUCCUACGGAAGGAACAUAAAGCAAGUGCCAGGAGAAAAAGAAUUUCCCUACUUUUGUACAUCCACGUAGAUGCGUAUAAGCGUUAACAUGAACCACUGCCAGGAGGAGCAAGAGCAGCUUCUGAGAACACUCUGUGAACCUCAUGGAGGGGAACAGAGCUUCCAGAGCCCACAGAAGAUGCUCAUGAGGAGACAAUACAAGGUGCAAGUCUAUACAUGGACUCUGAAACUGACUGAAUAUCAUUCUGGUUGUUCAUUGGGAAGGACACAAUUAAUCUACAGUAGGG